CCUUCGAUAGCUCAGUUGGUAGAGCGGUGGACUGUAGAAGACGUUCGAUUGUGAAGAUUAGUUGUGGAUCAUUGCGCCCCGUAAAGCAUCCUUCCUUUCUCUCCAUGAAACUACACUUUAAACACCCUCGAGUAAGAAGCUGAUGGAGCCUAAUCUCACGAGAAAACGAUAGACAUCCAUAGGUCACUGGUUCAAAUCCGGUUCGAAGGA
RNAcentral lists this transfer RNA (210 nucleotides) under Anopheles darlingi. RNAcentral's name for it is "tRNA Tyrosine". It matches the Rfam family "tRNA". Rfam says of the family: Transfer RNA (tRNA) molecules are approximately 80 nucleotides in length. Their secondary structure includes four short double-helical elements and three loops (D, anti-codon, and T loops). Further hydrogen bonds mediate the characteristic L-shaped molecular structure. tRNAs have two regions of fundamental functional importance: the anti-codon, which is responsible for specific mRNA codon recognition, and the 3' end, to which the tRNAs corresponding amino acid is attached (by aminoacyl-tRNA synthetases). tRNAs cope with the degeneracy of the genetic code in two manners: having more than one tRNA (with a specific anti-codon) for a particular amino acid; and 'wobble' base-pairing, i.e. permitting non-standard base-pairing at the 3rd anti-codon position. Lineage: Eukaryota; Metazoa; Arthropoda; Insecta; Diptera; Culicidae. The record is from RNAcentral.